RNAcentral lists this non-coding RNA (148 nucleotides) under Gorilla gorilla gorilla (western lowland gorilla). The record is from Rfam by way of RNAcentral. Lineage: Eukaryota; Metazoa; Chordata; Mammalia; Primates; Hominidae.
GCCAGGCAUGGUGGUGCGUGCCUGUAAUCCCAGCUACUCAGGAGGCUGAGGCAGGAGAAUCACUUGAACCCAGGAGGCGGAGGUUGCGGUGAGCUGAGAUCACACCACUGCACUCCAGCCUGGGUGACAGAGCGAGACUCUGUCUCAA